AACGCACGAGACCUGCGGACCUGCGGAGGGAUCAUUAUAGAGUGGUAAACCCCCCGUAAAAAGGGGGGACCUCCUGUCCUUUGUAGGCUCUUUUUUAAAAGGGCUUUUUUUAAUUUUCUGCUUCGGUGGGGUUAUCCCACCGGAACAACCUCAAAACUCUUAUCAAAAAAUCGUUCUGUCUGAGAACCUUUUAUAAUAAAAAAAAACUUUCAACAAUGGAUCUCUAGAUCGGAAGAGCAC
Molecule: unclassified non-coding RNA, 240 nt
Filed under: soil metagenome
Description: partial contains 5.8S ribosomal RNA, internal transcribed spacer 2, and large subunit ribosomal RNA
Source: RNAcentral